Anguilla anguilla (European eel) is the source of this 333-nucleotide long non-coding RNA. RefSeq lists it as uncharacterized. The record is from RefSeq and is a predicted model, not a curated record. Lineage: Eukaryota; Metazoa; Chordata; Actinopteri; Anguilliformes; Anguillidae. The transcript is spliced from 3 exons.
GUGAAAACUGAAAGAAAAAUGAAAAGAAACGAAAUAAAAUAGGAUCGGACUAUCGGGAGGAAUUGCGGGACAUACGCUGGAAGAUACGCACAGGCAGGCCAACAUGAGGAAGAUGAAGGUGAAGAGGCCAGAGAAGGAAACUGCGACCACGGCCAGAGAGGACGACCAGGAAAGCUCGCUUAGCGGGGCGCCGUCUGCAGGACAGAGGAGGAAGCGUAUGUGAAGAGUGAGCUGCUUGGUGUGACCUGUAUGUGGUCUCUGUGUCUGUAGAGAGAGGCCCUGGGCGACACUUCCUGGAGGAAAAGCUCUUCUUUACCCAGAUAUCGGGGUAAG